Bactrocera dorsalis (oriental fruit fly) is the source of this 1014-nucleotide long non-coding RNA. RefSeq lists it as uncharacterized. The transcript is spliced from 2 exons. The record is from RefSeq and is a predicted model, not a curated record. Lineage: Eukaryota; Metazoa; Arthropoda; Insecta; Diptera; Tephritidae.
UAAUUACAGUGUUGUUGCAGGCGACCAAUUGACUUGACUAAUGUGAAACCGCACGCUAUGGGGCACAAGUAGCAACUGUCGGUCUAUAGAAUUCAAACACCCAUUGCACACUUAUGGCGACUAGAUUUUGAGUGCAGUCGGCUAUAGCAACUGUUGCGCUGUUGUUAGGAGAGUUGCGUGCUCUUGAACAAUGUGUACCUAUGAAAUAGGCAUGAUAAAAUUUUUAGUAUUUUUUAAUAUAUAUAUUAUUUCCAUUUCUCUAAAUUGUACCGCAAACUUCUACAUAAAAUGCUUAGAUAUUUAAAAGAAUAAUCAUCAUAGCAAAAGCCACUUUGCUAACGUAACCGAACGCACGAUCAGUUGGUGAGAGAUAAGAUGACGGGAGAGCGAAAACAUGUUAGAGAGCAAAAUAUCAGAGGUUAGAAAGUGAGUUGAGAUGAUGAGCAUUUGCCUUUAGUUUACUCUUUCGUUGCAUUUUUGUAAGAUAAGCGAGAGAGAGAGAGAGAGAGAAUCAGGUGAGUGCAUGCUAGCAGGUAUUCUGAAGAGUUCAAUUAACCUGUUGCACUUUUCUAUAUUUGCUUUCAUUUACUCCUUCUUUGCACUCACUUUGAAACGUGCUCUCAAUAGCGGUUUGUACGGCGUGCUCAGCGUUUACUUACUUGUUCUUCGAGAUGCACUAAAUUUAUCUUUAGCAGGUCAAUGAACUUCGCCGUAUCAAGCAAUCUUGCCACGUUGUGAGAAAGAAAUGUUUAUUCGGGAUCUGCCUCAAAUAAUACCGCAUCCAAUAUCACAACCAAAUUUGAUGGCAAAUAUCUUUACCAAAGCCAGUUUGAGAUUUAUUUAGUGUUUUUAGUUUAAAGUAGAAAAGUGUUUAUUUAGUAUUUUUUCAAAUAAAAAUAUUACAAUUUUUUUAGAAAACUUCUAACGAUGUAGAAAAUUACUGUGAUUAAAUAUCUUUAAUUAUAAUCGGAUGUGUUGUUGUUUAAAAAAUUGUAUUCGAGUUUUUUUUGAUUU